CAGUCGCCACGGUAACACGGAGGGUGCGAGCGUUACCCGGAAUCACUGGGCGUAAAGGGCGCGUAGGCGGCAUGUUAAGUCUGGUUUUAAAGACAGGGGCUUAACCCCUGGAGUGGACUGGAUACUGGCACGCUUGACCUCUGGAGAGGUAACUGGAAUUUCUGGUGUAGCGGUGGAAUGCGUAGAUACCAGAAGGAACACCAAUGGCGAAGGCAAGUUACUGGACAGAAGGUGACGCUGAGGCGCGAAAGUGUGGGGAGCGAACCGGAUUAGAUACCCCAGUAGUCCCUGUCUCUUAUAC
This 301-nucleotide ribosomal RNA is filed under the name uncultured bacterium. RNAcentral's name for it is "partial 16S ribosomal RNA". It matches the Rfam family "Bacterial small subunit ribosomal RNA", at positions 509 to 807 of the family's 1533-position model. The record is from RNAcentral.